GGUGAACUUGAAAGUUUGUAUUGAGAGGAGGUGCUAUAAGAACAAUGCAGCCAGAAUUGCUGCCAAAUAGAAAACACUGACACUGGAGAUUCACCCAUAUCACAAGAGACCUGGAUUUAGCAAGGAAUAAACUUCUGUUUUAUUAAACAGAGAUACUUCAAAGAAGAGAAAAGAACACUUCAGGGACAAAAGCUACUCAACACUCCAAUACUGGCCUCUAGGAAUGGGCUUCUACCAAUAAAAACUUCAUCAUAGAGAAUCCAAGGGGCAAUAUUCCAGUGUGAUCAGUAACAGGAAGACAGAGAGAGUGACAACAUUCAAGAAGAAAGUCCAACGCUGUCUUCACAGUUACAGGAUGACCAGAGCAUCUGGAACUGCGAAUUGAUUCAAACUAAGAUGAUAUCAUUGAAGAUCAAGAGACUGUUGCUUAAUAGAGUCACAAAAAGAGGAAAUUAAACAAUUAGGAUUAAUAUGUGCGUACUCAAUCUCUAC
This 492-nucleotide long non-coding RNA is filed under the name Equus caballus (horse). Its description in RNAcentral is "lncRNA (ENSECAG00000056830.1)". The record is from RNAcentral. Lineage: Eukaryota; Metazoa; Chordata; Mammalia; Perissodactyla; Equidae.